This 757-nucleotide long non-coding RNA is filed under the name Homo sapiens (human). Its description in RNAcentral is "novel transcript". Lineage: Eukaryota; Metazoa; Chordata; Mammalia; Primates; Hominidae. The record is from RNAcentral.
CUCUUUACUUUAGAGAAGGCUGGGGAACAGAAGGCUGAAACCAACUGUGUGCAGAGUUCUCAGGCCUCUGCCAAAAAUGAGCAGGACCUGCCCGACACCUUCUCCGCUACAACCUCUUUUUCUACUGUCACUGCCCAUUGUCAUGGUGGCUCCCCAAAGGUGAGCCUGAGUCCAUAUUUGCAAGCUUUGCCCUGAAGACAAUUAUAUAUCUGAUUGCUGUGGCUGCAGAGGCUUAGAAUCCUUCAGGGGCAGGAGAGGUCCUGGCAGUAACAGUUAUUCUCUAUAAGUUCUUAUGUGCCAAGAAAGCUCUGAAGUGCUUGAUAUGCAUCAUUUCAUUUGUUCCUUACCCAAAUCCAUUGAUAGUAAAAGAAGCUAAUUCUUAGGUUAAGUAUUAAUCACUUGUUUAAGGUUACAGACCUCAUAAAUGAUGAGGAUUAAACCCAGGUUUGUCUGACUCUAAAGCCAAUCUGUGCUCUGUAGAGAAGAGGGAAAGAGAAAUUGCCACCUCCCCAGCAUUUCAUUGAAUCUAAAUACAUUUUAUUUUUUUCUUUCCUGGAAUCCAAAGCAUGUCAAAGACAUUUCAGCCAUAAACCUGGUUAUUUUUUCCUAUUAAGAACAAACAUGAUGGGCCAGGCACAGUGAGUGGCUGACCCGUGUAAUCCCAGCACUUUGGGAGGCCAAGGCAGGCAGAUCACUUGGGCUCAGGAGUUCAAGACCAGCCUGGGCAACAUGAUGAAACCCCGUCUUUACAAAAAAA